This 253-nucleotide ribosomal RNA is filed under the name uncultured archaeon. RNAcentral's name for it is "partial 16S ribosomal RNA". It matches the Rfam family "Archaeal small subunit ribosomal RNA", at positions 474 to 726 of the family's 1478-position model. The record is from RNAcentral.
CCCCAGCGCCACGAGUGGGAACCGGUAUUAUUGGGCCUAAAGCGUCCGUAGCAGGUCUUCUAAAUUGCUUGUGAAAUCGCAUAGCUUAACUAUGCGGAUUGCAGGUAGGACUGGAAGACUAGGGACCGGGAGAAGUCAGAGGUACUCAAAGGGGAGCGGUAAAAUGCGAGAAUCCUUUGAAGACCACCUGUUGCGAAGGCGUCUGACAAUAACGGGUCCGACUGUGAGGGACGAAAGCUAGGGGAGCGAACCG